Molecule: ribosomal RNA, 446 nt
Filed under: uncultured bacterium
Lineage: Bacteria
Description: partial 16S ribosomal RNA
Rfam family: Bacterial small subunit ribosomal RNA
Source: RNAcentral
CCUACGGGUGGCAGCAGUCGAGAAUCAUUCACAAUGGGGGAAACCCUGAUGGUGCGACGCCGCGUGGGGGAAUGAAGGUCUUCGGAUUGUAAACCCCUGUCAUGUGGGAGCAAAUUAAAAAGAUAGUACCACAAGAGGAAGAGACGGCUAACUCUGUGCCAGCAGCCGCGGUAAUACAGAGGUCUCAAGCGUUGUUCGGAAUCACUGGGCGUAAAGCGUGCGUAGGCUGUUUCGUAAGUCGUGUGUGAAAGGCGCGGGCUCAACCCGCGGACGGCACAUGAUACUGCGAGACUAGAGUAAGGGAGGGGGAAACGGAAUUCUCGGUGUAGCAGUGAAAUGCGUAGAUAUCGAGAGGAACACUCGUGGCGAAGGCGGGUUCCUGGACAUUAACUGACGCUGAGGCACGAAGGCCAGGGGAGCGAAAGGGAUUAGAUACCCGGGUAGUC